This 63-nucleotide non-coding RNA is filed under the name unclassified sequences. The record is from Rfam.
ACUGUGGAGUGUACAAGAACUUGUGAGUAGCGUAUUGCAAAAGCAUACACGUUGAAGCAGUAA